Molecule: non-coding RNA, 29 nt
Filed under: Mus musculus (house mouse)
Lineage: Eukaryota; Metazoa; Chordata; Mammalia; Rodentia; Muridae
Source: RNAcentral
UAAACAGAGACCAAGUGAAAAGGGACCCU